RNAcentral lists this ribosomal RNA (256 nucleotides) under uncultured bacterium. Its description in RNAcentral is "partial 16S ribosomal RNA". It matches the Rfam family "Bacterial small subunit ribosomal RNA", at positions 524 to 776 of the family's 1533-position model. The record is from RNAcentral.
UACGUAGGGGGCAAGCGUUGUCCGGAUUUAUUGGGCGUAAAGAGCUCGUAGGCGGUUGGGCAAGUCACGUGUGAAAUCUCCACGCUCAACGUGGAGGCGCCACGUGAGACUGCCCUGACUCGAGUCCGGUAGGGAGCGUGGAAUUCCCGGUGUAGCGGUGAAAUGCGCAGAGAUCGGGAGGAACACCCGUAGCGAAGGCGGCGCUCUGGGCCGGUACUGACGCUGGAGGAAGCGAAAGCGUUGGGGAGCAAACAGG